UGGUGCCAGCAGCCGCGGUAAUUCCAGCUCCAAUAGCGUAUAUUAAAGUUGUUGCAGUUAAAAAGCUCGUAGUUGAAUUUCGGGAUCAUCAGGUUGGUCGUGCCAUUGGUAUGUACUAGCUUUGGUGGUUCCUACCUCUUGAAGAACCGUAAUGUCAUUAACUUGGUGUUGCGGGGAAUCAGGACUGUUACUUUGAAAAAAUUAGAGUGUUUAAAGCAGGCAAACGCUUGAAUACAUUAGCAUGGAAUAAUGAAAUAGGACGUUUGAUCUUAUUUUGUUGGUUUCUAGGAUCGACGUAAUGAUUAAUAGGGAUAGUUGGGGGCACUAGUAUUCAAUUGUCAGAGGUGAAAUUCUUGGAUUUAUUGAAGACUAACUACUGCGAAAGCAUUUGCCAAGGAUGUUUUCAUUAAUCAAGAACGAAAGUUAGGGGAUCGAAGACGAUCAGAUACCGUCGUAGUCUUAACCAUAAACUAUGCCGACUAGGGA
This 486-nucleotide ribosomal RNA is filed under the name uncultured Sclerocystis. Its description in RNAcentral is "SSU rRNA". It matches the Rfam family "Eukaryotic small subunit ribosomal RNA", at positions 562 to 1052 of the family's 1831-position model. Lineage: Eukaryota; Fungi; Glomeromycota; Glomeromycetes; Glomerales; Glomeraceae. The record is from RNAcentral.